AGAGCGAACGCUGGCGGCAGGCCUAAAACAUGCAAGUCGAACGAGCCCUUCGGGGUUAGUGGCGGACGGGUGAGUAACACGUGGGAACGUGCCUUUUGGUUCGGAACAACUCAGGGAAACUUGAGCUAAUACCGAAUGUGCCCUUCGGGGGAAAGAUUUAUCGCCAUUAGAGCGGCCCGCGUCUGAUUAGCUAGUUGGUGAGGUAAAGGCUCACCAAGGCUUCGAUCAGUAGCUGGUCUGAGAGGAUGAUCAGCCACACUGGGACUGAGACACGGCCCAGACUCCUACGGGAGGCAGCAGUUAGGAAUCUUGCGCAAUGGGCGAAAGCCUGACGCAGCCAUGCCGCGUGAAUGAUGAAGGUCUUAGGAUUGUAAAAUUCUUUCAGCGGGGACGAUAAUGACGGUACCCGCAGAAGAAGCUCCGGCUAACUUCGUGCCAGCAGCCGC
This 446-nucleotide ribosomal RNA is filed under the name uncultured bacterium. RNAcentral describes it as "SSU rRNA". It matches the Rfam family "Bacterial small subunit ribosomal RNA", at positions 26 to 518 of the family's 1533-position model. The record is from RNAcentral.